RNAcentral lists this ribosomal RNA (859 nucleotides) under uncultured bacterium. RNAcentral's name for it is "bacterial SSU rRNA". It matches the Rfam family "Bacterial small subunit ribosomal RNA", at positions 524 to 1380 of the family's 1533-position model. The record is from RNAcentral.
UACGGAGGGUGCAAGCGUUACUCGGAAUCACUGGGCGUAAAGCGCGCGCAGGCGGUUAGGAAAGUCAGAAGUGAAAUCCUACAGCUCAACUGUAGAACUGCUUCUGAAACUCUCUAACUAGAGUGUGGGAGAGGUGAGUGGAAUUAGUGGUGUAGGGGUAAAAUCCGCAGAGGUCACUAGGAAUACCAAAAGCGAAGGCAACUCACUGGAACAUUACUGACGCUGAGGCGCGAAAGCGUGGGGAGCAAACAGGAUUAGAUACCCUGGUAGUCCACGCCCUAAACGAUGAAUGCUAGUCGUUGGAGUGCAAGUCACUUCAGUGAUGCAGUUAACACAUUAAGCAUUCCGCCUGGGGAGUACGGUCGCAAGAUUAAAACUCAAAGGAAUAGACGGGGACCCGCACAAGUGGUGGAGCAUGUGGUUUAAUUCGAAGAUACGCGAAGAACCUUACCUGGCCUUGACAUCCCAAGAACCCUGUAGAGAUACGGGGGUGCCCCUUUUGGGGAGCUUGGUGACAGGUGCUGCACGGCUGUCGUCAGCUCGUGUCGUGAGAUGUUGGGUUAAGUCCCGCAACGAGCGCAACCCUCGUGUUUAGUUGCUAACAGUUAGGCUGAGCACUCUAGACAGACUGCCUCCGCAAGGAGGAGGAAGGUGAGGACGACGUCAAGUCAUCAUGGUCCUUACGGCCAGGGCGACACACGUGCUACAAUGGGUAGGACAAUGAGAGGCAAUACCGCGAGGUGGAGCAAAUCUAUAAACCUACUCUCAGUUCGGAUUGUAGUCUGCAACUCGACUACAUGAAGCUGGAAUCACUAGUAAUCGUAGAUCAGCCAUGCUACGGUGAAUACGUUCCCGGGUC